Molecule: long non-coding RNA, 190 nt
Organism: Populus euphratica (Euphrates poplar)
Lineage: Eukaryota; Viridiplantae; Streptophyta; Magnoliopsida; Malpighiales; Salicaceae
Exons: 2
Source: RefSeq, a predicted model, not a curated record
UAUCUAUAUGUAUAUAUAUAUCAUGAAUUUGAAGGAAAUCCUUAAUCAAUCACGGAUUCUUUUUGGCUCGCCUUUGAGAUUUUGUUUAACUUUUACUCCGCCUGUAACCUCUUAAAUGCAUUUGGUAUAGCAAGAUUUACUUGAAUAAGAUCAUUAAAGGAAAUCCUCAAGAAUCCUGUUCCAAUAAUUC